UUUUCCACCUUCAUCACAACUGCAAAUGUUUUUAUAACUCACCUGUUUUCUUUUUUUCUUUUUCUUUUUUCCGCCUGUCCCGUUUGGCUCUUUUGCCAUCAGAAUUGUUGUCUAAAGGCAAAGAAAGAUGCCCAACGGAUUUACUUUACCAAAUUGACCAUCCCAGCCUUGCCGUAAUGGUCCAUUUGAUUCACCUUUUAUUGUUUAUUUUAUUUUCACUUGCUGAAUACGGGACAGACUUGACUGGGGGAAAGAAGGGGAGAAAGAAAGAGGGAAAGAGAAACAGCUGAGAAGAGGGACGGGGGAGAAGGGCAAAAAACAAAAACCAACAGAAUGAGCAGAAAAAAAAAUGCAUAUAUCGAUCACCUGGAUCACCUGCUGAGAAAGAAAAAAGAAAACAAGCAGAAGAGAACAAGAGUAAUAGAAUAAACAACAUCACAAUGAUAUAUGGGAAUAUGACAGUAAAUACUAAAUAUUAAACAUUAUUGUGCAGCACAUAAGAUCAACAGAACACAGUGUGCUUUGAGGUAGGAGCCAAAAAGGGUGUAGUUUGUGGGUGUGAUCACCCGUGUGUACACCUGUGAGCAUGGACGCGCUUGUUUUUUUUUGUUUUUUUUUAAAAGGUUCCUUCAUGUAAUAAUCUGCUAGAGGGUGUGGGGGGGCCACAGCCCCGUCCUCCAGGGCAUGAAGCAGGUAUGGAGGAGAUCAAAACUCCAGACAUCCAGAGGCCCCCAGAACACAAGAGACCAAGGAAGACCAACAGAGGGGCAGCCGCGCCACUGUCCCAGAAAGAGCUGAGGAGAGUCCCAGAUGAGGGCUCACUCAGCAGCCGCGGAGCAGAAGCCAGGGGGGGUUGCAGUGACGCGCCCGUGAGCUCCGCCGGCAGCCAGCCGUGCCUGAGUGACCGAGCCCCAGGCCGAGAGGCCGGGGGCACCCCACCUCCGAAGUGGCCCGAGCGAGCCCCAGGCUCCAGGCCCCGAUAAGCGGCCACCAAGGAGAUAAUAAUGAAAACUCACCUGUUUUCAUUAUUAGGGGCGUGGCCUCUUUGACAUGUGGAUGGCGGCACAGGAGUACAGACAUCUUUUAUAUUCAGUCUGAUAAUCUAAUCAGAAGUGAUAAUAGCAAAUUUUCAGUGAUUAAUGAUCUCUCCAAGUGCAGCUCAGCCAGUACAGCAGACUAAUCUUACUGUCAGCAGUUUGACUUUUUUGUUUCUUUUUAAUAAUCGUUUCUACUUUUGGUCUUUCAGAUGGAUCCUUGACUCAUCG
This is a long non-coding RNA of Astatotilapia calliptera (eastern happy), 1265 nucleotides long. The record is from Ensembl. NCBI's taxonomy places the organism in Eukaryota, Metazoa, Chordata, Actinopteri, Cichliformes, Cichlidae.